RNAcentral lists this ribosomal RNA (444 nucleotides) under uncultured bacterium. Its description in RNAcentral is "bacterial SSU rRNA". It matches the Rfam family "Bacterial small subunit ribosomal RNA", at positions 331 to 792 of the family's 1533-position model. The record is from RNAcentral.
CCAGACUCCUACGGGAGGCAGCAGUGGGGAAUAUUGCACAAUGGGGGAAACCCUGAUGCAGCGACGCCGCGUGAAGGAAGAAGUAUUUCGGUAUGUAAACUUCUAUCAGCAGGGAAGAAAAUGACGGUACCUGAGUAAGAAGCCCCGGCUAACUACGUGCCAGCAGCCGCGGUAAUACGUAGGGGGCAAGCGUUAUCCGGAUUUACUGGGUGUAAAGGGAGCGUAGACGGCAGUGCAAGUCUGGAGUGAAAGGCGGGGGCUCAACCCCCGGACUGCUCUGGAAACUGUACGGCUGGAGUGCAGGAGAGGUAAGUGGAAUUCCUAGUGUAGCGGUGAAAUGCGUAGAUAUCAGGAGGAACACCGGUGGCGAAGGCGGCCUGCUGGACUGCAACUGACGUUGAGGCCCGAAAGCGUGGGGAGCAAACAGGAUUAGAUACCCCCGUA